Molecule: non-coding RNA, 134 nt
Filed under: Loigolactobacillus rennini
Lineage: Bacteria; Bacillati; Bacillota; Bacilli; Lactobacillales; Lactobacillaceae
Also listed under: 1 other name
Description: Lactobacillus rennini FMN sequence
Rfam family: FMN riboswitch aptamer (RFN element)
About the family: The RFN element is a highly conserved domain that is found frequently in the 5'-untranslated regions of prokaryotic mRNAs that encode for flavin mononucleotide (FMN) biosynthesis and transport proteins.
Source: RNAcentral
GAAAUUCUUCGGGGCAGGGUGAAAUUCCCGACCGACGGUAAUGAGCUAGCUGCUUAAAGUCCGUGACCCGCGUAUGCGGUGGAUCUAGUGAGAAUCUAGAACCGACAGUAAAGUCUGGAUGGGAGAAGAAUUAA